Molecule: long non-coding RNA, 4943 nt
Filed under: Sus scrofa (pig)
Lineage: Eukaryota; Metazoa; Chordata; Mammalia; Artiodactyla; Suidae
Description: lncRNA (ENSSSCG00040048712.1)
Source: RNAcentral
CUUUUUGUCUUUUCUAGGGCUGCACUCGCAGCAUAUGGAGGUUCCCAGGCUAGGGGUCUAAUUGGAGCUAUAGCUGCCGGCCAGCGCGAGAGCCACAGCAACGCAGGAUCCGAGCCGCGUCUUGUGACCUACACCACAGCUCACAGCAACGCCAGAUCCUUAACCCACUGAGCAAGGCCAGAGAUCGAACCCGCCACCUCAUGGUUCCCAGUUGGAUUCGUUAACCACUGAGCCAUGACAGGAACUCCAGUCUAGCUGCCUGAACAGCAGGCUUCUCACACGCCAAGUGGGAGUAUAAGGCUAUGGAUUAGGAACAGCACCUGGAACAAACACAGCACAGUGCUGGGCACACAGGAAGGGCGUGACACCAGACGCCUGUUGGUACAGAGACGGGCGAGGCCAAAUUCACUUGAUGUUUGGCCAACUGCCCAUAAAAACUGUACGGUGGGAGUUUCCAUUAUGGCGCAACUGAAACAAAUCCAACCAGGAACCAUGAGGUUGCGGGUUUGAUUCCUGGCCUCGCCCAGUGGGCUAAGGAUCCCAGGUUGCCGUGAGCUGUGGUAUAGGUCAGAUCUGGCAUUGCUGUGGCUGUGGCUGUUGCUGGCAGCUAUAGCUCCAAUUCUACCUCUAGCCUGGGAACCUCCAUAUGCUGCAGGUGAGGCCCUAAAAAGCAAAAAAAAAUAAGUAAAUAAAUAUAUAAGGCUGUAUGGUGACCUUAAAUCUGUCUGAUUUCUAACCCUUCCCCCACCCCCACUCCUAAUCCAUUUUCCACCCAGCAGCCCACAUAUUUUUAAAACAAAACCUUUGCUUAAACCUUUCAGUGACUUGCAGGACACUGAGAAUAAAACCUAAACUCCUUUCCAUGAGCUGGCAGGGUCUGACUCAUGCCUCCCUCUCCGAUCUCAUUUCAUCAGGCCAGUUCCAGUCAUGCUGGGCUUCAAUUAGCACCGCAAACGCAGCCAGCAUCUUCCCACCUUGGGCCUGCCUGCACGCCUUCUCUCCCGGCCACAGUUCCCACUGCCCUUUGCACAGCUAAUGCCUAAUGCCUUCCAUCCCUCGGAUCACCUCCUUGGCAGUCACUCUACCUUCCUCUCCCAGGCCCUGAUUGUUCCCUCCUAGAUUUCACUGCCAUCUGUAGUCAUCUUGCCUCCUUACGUGUAAUUUCCUUCACUACUUUAUCCUUAGGGUGCAGCACAAGGACUGGCACGCAGGGCCCUGGUUGACAUUUGCUGAAUGGGUACAUGUGAGUGUGUGUCGACACACCCUCGCUCCAGACUGUCUCUCUGACACACACACACACACCCCUGAGGGGGCUCACAAAGGAAGCUCCCCACACACAUACUGGAGCCUGCUGAACCAGACUAGACUCCUUCUCCAGGACCCAGACAGAGCGGGGCCAGAGAGUGUGGUUAACUCAGAGCCCAGCAUCAGGGCCAGUCCCCACUCCGAGGGUGUGGGUGUGGCGGGUGUGGUGGGCAGCGGCUCAGCACCCUCCCUGUGGGAGCCGGGGCAUAAAGGGCCCUAUUCAGCCCAUGCAGCCUCAGCUCCUCCCUGCCAGGGGAGGCUGCCCUCAGGAAAGGGGACCAUGGGAUGCUGGGCAGUGCUUCCCGGCAGCCUCUCCCUGUAGCGUGGACCACAGCAGGGAUGGGAGAAUUUGGAGGGGAGGGGGCAGCUAGGAGUACAGGGCCUCCAGACACAACAGAAAGGCCCAAACAGAUGGGGAGGUUGUGGGGCGGCCAGGGGUUGUCCUCAUUCUGAGGGGUGAUGCUGAAAGGCACAGUUCACUGCCAAUGCUCCAGAGCAGAGGAAAAUCCCCAGGACGCAGAGGUCCAUAACCACAGGCGUGGCAGCGCCAGCCAGAGGGGAGCUUGCCUAGCUCUCUUGGGAUGGACACUGUCCCCCAAAGUCUGCUUUCCUUGAGCGUUGGCACUGUUGGUAGAACUGGGCCCAGACAAUCAGCUCUCUUCAGCAACCUCCUACCAGUAUUUUCCAUGGUUCCACCCCAUCCUGCAAGGGAGGUGAGGAUGGUAUAACUAAUAGAUCACAUUCAUUGAGCACGUGGUGUAUACUAAGGACAGUGCGAUGUGCUUCACAUUUAUUCUGUUAUUUGAUCUUCAUAACAACCUAUAAUCUAGGUACCCAGGUACUGUUAACUCCCAUUUUACAGAUUAUUAAACCAAAGGUCAAAAAAGGUGAGUGGCCUGCCCAAGGUCACACAGCUAAUAAGUCACAGAUCUGGGUUGGAUGCGCCGUGAUCUCUGUCUUUGGCAAUCUGAAAGUGCAUAGGCUCUUCAUUCUUCCGCUACGUCCCUUCUUUUCUCUGUACCCUUCCCCAGGCAGUACAUCUAACCCCACCCCUACCCCAUAAGCAUGUCCGCAUGCAUCAUUCACUCACUUGCUAAUCAUUCAGCUCUCCACAGUGCCUGUGCUGAACUGGGGACGGAGAUGUGUUGGUGAACAAUACAGACACAGCCCCUGCCCUCACAAAGGACACAGCCUGGGUGGGCACUGCGUUGUGGUGUGAUCGCUUACGAUGGGGACACACAGGAGGGAGACAGGCCUGUAAAGUGGUAGGAAUAAGCCAGGCUAAGGGAAAGGAAGAGUGUUCCAAGAGGAAGGAAGAGCCUGAGCAAAGGUCCAGAGAUAAAAGACAUCAGCUAGAGUUAAGUCCAGUGUGAUGGAGAGAUGUGUGUGUGUGCGUGUGCGCGUGUACGCGGUGUGUUAGGAUGUUAUAAAAAUGUGCUACCCCAACAGACAAUGGGUUACAGGGGUUCACUCACAUGACACAUAGCAGAGCAGAGCUGUCAACAUUAUACAUUUCAGAAAUAUAUGUUUCUGAACCUUCCAGGCCAAAGACCACAGUUUUUAUGUGAAGAAACAUAGGCACCUUCGGACCCUUCCGAAGCCCUUCUCCGCCAUGUUUAAACCCCAAGGGAGGCACACUUGGGCCUGGUCAUGGUCAGACAGGCACAGCACAGGCUCAAACCUGUGUUCUCACCUACCAUAAUCCAAAUGCAUCCCCGGGAGGUAAAACCAGGAGACGCUGGAGGUCACUGUGUCCAGCCCCCUCACUUUCUGAGGUCGAGGCUGAGCUCAGAGAGAAUGAUCUCUUGCCCAACAUUGCAAAAGACUCAGUGGAACUUGAGCUGGCACCUUGGUUCUAGGAUGGCCUUUGCAGCUUCCGCAUCAUCAUCAUCAUCAUCGUCAUCAUCAUUAUUAUUAUCUUUUGUCUUUUCAGGGCCACACCCACAGCAUAUGGAAGUUCCCAGGCUAGGGGUUGAAUUGGAGCUGCAGCUGCCAGCCUACACUACUACAGCAAUAGCAGUGCUGGAUCUGAGUUGCGUCUGUGGCCUAUACCACAGCUCGUGGCAACACAGGAUCCUUAACCCACUGAGUGAGGCCAGGGAUUGAACCUGAGUCCUCAUGAAUGCUAGUUGGGUUCAUUACCACGGAUCCACAACAGAACUCCAGCUUUUGCACUUAUAAGUUAUAUUCCCCAGGGUCCCUAACUCAGUUGUCUUUCUUACUUCCAAUUUCUACCCCAAUCCUCACCCAACAACAAGAGCUGCCAUUACUGAUACCACGUCACAGAACUGAGGACUCACUGCGGUGGUCCGCCUCCAAGGUGGUCCCUGGUAGCUCUGGCCAUCUGGCCCAUACACCUUACACAGUCCCUUCCCAUACUGGACAGGGCUGACCUGUGGCGCCAGUAGGAUAUUUGGAAAUGGUGGUUUCCAAGACUAGGUUGUAAAAGAUAUCAAGGUUUCCUUCUUGAUCUUGCUCUGGGAAAGCCAGCUGCUGUGUUGUGAGGACACUCAAGCAGCCUAGGGAGAAGCCCACGUGGGAAGGAACUGAAGCCUCUGCAAGCCACGUAAGUAAGCCAUCUUGCCAAAAGAUCCUCCAGCCCCAGUCAAGCCUUCAGAUGACACUUUGCCUACAAUAUCGCAAGAGAUCCUGAGUCAAAACCAUGCACCUAAGGUUUUCCUGAAUUCCCGGCCCACAGAAACUUUGUGAGAUAAUACACACUUAUUGUUUUAAGCAGCUAAAUUUGGGGGAGGGAUGUGUUACAUUGUAACAGAUGACUGAUACAGGACCCAUCACUGCUCUUGAUAGAAUGAAGGUCUGUGGGUCACCUGAAUCAGAGAUAUUUGGCAUAUUGAUUACAAAUGCAGAUUCCUGGGAUUCAUCCAGACCCCUUGAAUUAGAUAGAAAGGUGAGAGCCUGAAUUUUCAAUAAAGCCCCCACCCUGCGGUCGCCAAGUGAAUCUCAUGUGCCUUUUAGGUUUAGAAUUCCUGGGCUAAUCUAAUUCACUUUACACAUCUAAAGAGGCUCGGAGAGCUGAUGGCUUGAUCCUUCUUGCACAUCUAGGCUGAGGCAGGCCGAGGCCAAGAAUUAGUACGGAUUUCCAGUUCAGUGCUCUUUCUACUUACUUCCUCCUUUGUCUAAGUCAGUUUGCUUCUUUGAGAAGUGUAGGCAUUAUUUUUCUUUUCCUUUUAUUUCUAUUAAAAAUACACACAUAGCAAAAUGCUAUACAGUCAGUUGUUUGUCUGCUUAAGAGCUUGCUUUGCCUGGGAAGAACUUUUCAUCAGGACUGAAAAUGUGGGCCAUGCAGAGGGGCUGGUGCUGCCACAGAACAGUGCAUCAGAAAAGACAUCUUUUCUACCCACCUAAAUGCCCCAGCUCCAGGAAAGCAAAAUACAGCAUGUACAAGACAGAGGACAAGGACAAGGUGGAGUCUACCUUAACCCCUGCAAACUCUCACCCUAGUGGGUACGAUAAUAAUCCUGCUUUCAUUUGCACAGCAUCUGGGGGCUUGGAAAGAACUCGGGUACAAUCUUAGUGAAUCACUUUUGUGAACGGCAAGAUGGGCAGCUCUGUGACCCAUUCGGUCAUUCGGUUGGCACAUUUGUUGCACAACUACUAUGUGCCAGCAGGCACAAGGG